This is a long non-coding RNA of Canis lupus familiaris (dog), 3149 nucleotides long. RefSeq lists it as uncharacterized. The transcript is spliced from 6 exons. The record is from RefSeq and is a predicted model, not a curated record. Lineage: Eukaryota; Metazoa; Chordata; Mammalia; Carnivora; Canidae.
CAUGGUGACAAGGAGAUGACUGGUGCUUGGACACAGGACAGAACACACGGCUGGGAAGCCCGAGGCAAUCCAAGCCGAUCAUAGGAGUGGCUAUUCCUCCAUCAACAAGAUGCCCCUUCCUGAUGGGAGGAGGUUUGGAGCCCAGGCCUAGAGAACGAGUCCGCACUCGUUGGCCAGGACGGGGCAGAUGUACUUUCCACAGCUUCCUCUGCAUGUUCUCUGUCCAGCAUCAAUAUUUCCAUGUUCGGGAUGAAACAGAGUUACCUAACAUUUAAAGGAAUGACUUUCUCCUUUCAAAACAAGGAGGAAUGUGCAGUAUCAAAUCUGGAUUCCAGAAACCCUGGCACAGGACGACCCUGUGUCCCAAACUUUCUUGCCAAGGUUCCAGUUUAUGCCCACGAGGCCCAGAGAAGGUUCCGGAUGUGGCGGCAGCUUUUGGCUCUGAAUGGUUUUGGCUGCAAGAACUACCCGGUGACUGAUUUACUCCUCGAUUUCGAGUCUUUUUUCCCCCCCUCCAUCAAAAUAAUUCUCCACGAAUCAUUUCCAUGUUUCCAAGGCAAAAAUAGAAAAAAACCAAAAGCUGUAAGUUUAAAAAAAAAAAAAAAAAAAGGCCUGCGAACAGGAAUGGAUUUGCUAUCCGACAUCCCUUUCAGGAAACCGUCAGGUAAAAUCAGGCAAUGUAAUGGGCAAUUUGGUCUCAACUUCCCCACCAGGAGAAACGCCUGCGCGCACAUGUACACACACAUCCAUUCCCAGGCGGGCCCCGCACCAGACCAUAAGCUUCUAGUGAGACCGAAUUCCUGUAGGAGGGCAGUUUCCUUUCUGCUAUACCAACAUAAUGCUUCAUUACACCAAGACACAGCACUCUCCGAGCUGCCAGGGAAGAAAAGAACGAAGCCUAAAAUUCACAGUAAACUUUAACGUGCUAAGCGUAAAUGCUAAGUGUAAAUACCUAAAAUGAAUGUGUUCUAUCAACCCUUUCCGGUUCUGUGUUUGAUUCUUCCCAUGGCCGAGGUGCAACUGGCCUCUCAAGAGGCCACUGGCUCAGUGUUCCCCGCAGGUGCCGUGACUGCCACACAAUCAAACCCCCCAUCACACUCUGAGUCAGGGGCGUGGGGUGGGCCUCGACUUUUGUUCUGUGGGCAUCGCCAGAAAGAACGUCAAGCACCUGUGGUCAGUAAAUCCAGUAAUUCAACUGGGUUGGAGAAGAUGCCGGGUGCUUGAUCAGAGGUAUCCAGUGGAACCUGCCCAGGGACUCAACAGUGGACGGUCCCCAAACCUCCUACCCUGGGCCAGGAGCUGACAAAAGGACCCAGCCCACCUUCAGCUUCCCCAGUUUGCAGGAUUAUUUUCAGGAGGAGGGAGAGGAGUCUAGUCAGCUCUUGGUCCAUCAUUCUCAGAAAGAGAAGUUAAAGAUCUCCAUUUCUAAGUAUCAUUUGCCUCUAACAAGAACCAAAUUGGCCAAAUCCAAACCAACUCUGUAGAGAGUAAGAAGCAUGAUGGAUUAUAAAAUAAUAAUUCACAAGUCCAGAGCACAAGCUGAGAGACAGCCAAGACAAAGAACAAAAGAUAAGUACAUCCCUCAUUUGCUGCCCCUAGAGUGACUAGUACAUCAUCUAACUUCCUACUCUGAAAAUGAUUCCGUACAAAAUAAUAUCAGUUAAUAAAUGAAGAAGGAAAAAAAGACAAGAAAAAUUCCCAUUUUGCAAACCUUAGAGAACUGAUUCAAGCAAAGGAUCGCCAAGGUUGUAGGUGAACAGAAUAUUGCCUGGUGUGCCAAAGGGAUGCUCCAUGGAUUACUCACUGAAAGAGACCAUAACUGUAGAGAGAACAGGUAGUGGAGCUUCUCACCAAGUGAUCCAAUCAAUAAGAAAGGUACAAUAUGUGACACAAUACGAAAUACACAGUAUCACCUAGAAAGUUUGCCUUCCCAAAAUAUUUAACCUGAAUCAAAUCAAAUUUUUAUACCUAACUUCUAGUUUACAAGAAACUGAGGAGCUAGAGGAACACAAAUGUCACCACAAGGCCACAGCCAAAUCCAGAAUGUGGGGUAUUUGUUAAGAUAACUGCUCUGGUCUCUCCAAAACCUUGAUGUCAUUUUUUAAAAAAGAGAUAAAAGAAAUAUGUCAAACAAGUGCAAUGCACAAUUCUAGUCCACUCUUUUGGCUGGUUCUGACUCUACAUCGGGAAUAAAAUCCAGACUAAGGUGAUUUUUGGAGUCAAUCUUGAAAUGGCAUCGAGAAUGGUGAGAAGCCCACCAUUUCCUCUUUCGACUCCAGAAGUGACUUGGAGAAGAAUGGCUUGUACGUAAUACCUGUCCCUCCAGUGUCCAUAACUUGCUGACCUAUGACUUUGGGAAAAUAAAAUACAGCACCUGUGAGAAUAAGGUUGAUUGGGAUCACCCGGCAAAAGUGAAGUCUCAGUGCUAGUAAUUCACAUGUUCACAAUAUUCAUGUAUUGAUCUACAAUAUGCCAGAUGCUGAGGCCUUAAGAGAUUGAGAGCUCUCACUGCCUGUUUCCUGGAACAUUCUCUGGGAAUCCUGAGCUGCCAUGUAAAAAGUCUGAAAGCCUUGAGACAGUCACUCUGAAGAGGCUAAGAGUUCCACUACGAGACCACAGCCUUCCAGCCCUCCCACCAAGGAGACAGUCGUGUGAUGCUGGUUGAUGCUCGUGGUGGAAAGCUCUCUGAAGCUCUGCUAGACAAGAUGGGGGACAUCCAAAGGGUGCCGGCAGAAGUCUGUAACUACCUCUAGAAGACAGCUGACGGUGGCAGCCCUGAGACUGGAAAUUACAUCUUGAUGAGCUGGGUCUUGGUCCCUGUCAACAGGCGUGGGGAAAGGCUGCUGGACAAGCCUCAAGAAUGAGGCGGCGAUGAAUUAUCACGCGGUGCUGAUUCUAACAUCAGAGAUGCCAAUAACACAACACUUGAGGCCCAACGGAGCUGCCAGGGAGCAGCAGAUGAAGCACCUGGAGCCCAGAGAGGGCAAGUCAGAUGUGAAAGGUCACACAGCUUGCGGGUGCCUGACAAAGACUGAACUGGGAUCCUUCAGACUCUAAAAUCCAAACUCAGGUCGUGAUCCUGGGAUCCUGGGAUCAAGUCCCACAUCCGGCUCCCCAUGCAAGGAGCCUGCUUCUCCCUCUGUCUGUGU